RNAcentral lists this long non-coding RNA (525 nucleotides) under Triticum aestivum (bread wheat). Its description in RNAcentral is "long non-coding RNA (TAES_LNC003980)". The record is from RNAcentral. Lineage: Eukaryota; Viridiplantae; Streptophyta; Magnoliopsida; Poales; Poaceae.
UUUGAUGUAAGCACACUCAUUUGGAACCAUGCAUAAUUUGGCCAAAGGUAACAAACAAGGUAAGCAACUCCAACAAAAUUCACCGGAAAAAACCAUGCAUUGCAUACUUUGAAAAGGACCAAACCGCAUCAUCCAAGACGCCUCUCUCGUUAACCACCACCAUACCACACCAACCACAGGUAGCAAAACAACUUGCGCUACAGACCAUCACCAUCUCAAGUCUCAGAUUCUGUCGAAGCAGGCAGCUAACAAGGCAAAGGCAAGGCUGUUCGGCGACGUCGGAAACUUAUUAUCAUCAUCAUCAUCAUACCACACCAACCACAGGCAGGUCCAUGUGCAGUAAGGAAGUAAAAACCAGGGCGGGACGGAGACCGGCCGAUCAGUCGACGACCUCCUCCGUCUUCUUGGGCUUGGACAGGAGGUACCAGCCCAGGGCGCUCAGGCCGGCGAGGGUGCCAGCCAGCACGGCGUAGUUCCUGUUCUUGUCGGUCGACGUGCCUGCUGCGGAUGCCGACGCGGUCGAAC